This 468-nucleotide ribosomal RNA is filed under the name uncultured bacterium. Its description in RNAcentral is "partial 16S ribosomal RNA". It matches the Rfam family "Bacterial small subunit ribosomal RNA", at positions 28 to 507 of the family's 1533-position model. The record is from RNAcentral.
GACGAACGCUGGCGGCGUGCUUAACACAUGCAAGUCGAACGGAAAGGCCCUGCUUUUGUGGGGUGCUCGAGUGGCGAACGGGUGAGUAACACGUGAGUAACCUGCCCUUGACUUUGGGAUAACUUCAGGAAACUGGGGCUAAUACCGGAUAGGAGCUCCUGCUGCAUGGUGGGGGUUGGAAAGUUUCGGCGGUUGGGGAUGGACUCGCGGCUUAUCAGCUUGUUGGUGGGGUAGUGGCUUACCAAGGCUUUGACGGGUAGCCGGCCUGAGAGGGUGACCGGCCACAUUGGGACUGAGAUACGGCGCAGACUCCUACGGGAGGCAGCAGUGGGGAAUAUUGCAGAAUGGGCGGAAGCCUGAUGCAGCAACGCCGCGUGCGGGAUGACGGCUCUCGGGUUGUAAACCGCUUUCGCCUGUGACGAAGCGUGAGUGACGGUAAUGGGUAAAGAAGCACCGGCUAACUACGUG